ACGGGAGGCAGCAGUGAGGAGUAUUGGUCAAUGGACGGAAGUCUGAACCAGCCAAGUAGCGUGCAGGAUGACGGCCCUAUGGGUUGUAAACUGCUUUUAUACGGGGAUAAAGUGGGGAACGUGUUCCCUUUUGCAGGUACCGUAUGAAUAAGGACCGGCUAAUUCCGUGCCAGCAGCCGCGGUAAUACGGAAGGUCCGGGCGUUAUCCGGAUUUAUUGGGUUUAAAGGGAGCGUAGGCCGGACUUUAAGCGUGUUGUGAAAUGUAGGUGCUCAACAUCUGCACUGCAGCGCGAACUGGAGUCCUUGAGUGCGCAGGAAGUUGGCGGAAUUCGUCGUGUAGCGGUGAAAUGCUUAGAUAUGACGAAGAACUCCGAUUGCGAAGGCAGCCUUCUGGAGUGCGAUUGACGCUGAGGCUCGAAAGCGCGGGUAUCAAACAGGAUUAGAUACCCUGGUA
This 454-nucleotide ribosomal RNA is filed under the name uncultured Prevotella sp. RNAcentral's name for it is "partial 16S ribosomal RNA". It matches the Rfam family "Bacterial small subunit ribosomal RNA", at positions 341 to 792 of the family's 1533-position model. Lineage: Bacteria; Pseudomonadati; Bacteroidota; Bacteroidia; Bacteroidales; Prevotellaceae. The record is from RNAcentral.